UGUGCGGUGCCUGGCAGCAGAUCAGGUGGCGGCGCAGCUUAAAACGAGGU
Molecule: regulatory RNA element, 50 nt
Organism: Marinospirillum alkaliphilum DSM 21637
Lineage: Bacteria; Pseudomonadati; Pseudomonadota; Gammaproteobacteria; Oceanospirillales; Oceanospirillaceae
Rfam family: L31-Gammaproteobacteria ribosomal protein leader
Source: Rfam